AGAUCUCACUGUGUAGCCCAGGCUGGCCUUGAGAUUUUGAUCCUCUUGCUGGGGCCUUCUGAGUGCUAGAACUGCAGGUGCUGUGUGCUUGGUCUCUUACAUCUCUUGAUCACUUGCUAGACUGGAGUCUGUAAAACCCGAGCCUCAACCACUUCUCUCAGGUAUUGCCACAGUGCUGAAACCCUGAGAAACACAAGGUCUGUCAACCUACGGACAGUUUUUGAAGAAGUUGUCGGGGGAUCAUACUCAGAAAUGCCGUCCAUCUCCUUUGAGAUCUGGUCUCUGGAGUUCACCAGUAAUAUACAAACAGAAAAGAUCGCCAAGAAUCACUCUCCGAGGAGUCAGGCUAUAAAGACUCUGAGAUAAGCCUGGCUGCCUGGAAGAGGCAGAGACCAGCUGAGCUGCCUAGAAGAGGUUUAGACCAUUUGGAGCCACCUGGGAAGGACACUCGCCAAUCUGCUUGCAAGCUGUGCAGUGUGCUACGACUUCCUGCUUUUCUGGUGUUUUCCUGCAUGUAUGUCUGUGUACUGCCUGCGAGUCUGG
Molecule: long non-coding RNA, 543 nt
Organism: Mus musculus (house mouse)
Lineage: Eukaryota; Metazoa; Chordata; Mammalia; Rodentia; Muridae
Product: predicted gene, 51688
Exons: 3
Source: RefSeq, a predicted model, not a curated record